RNAcentral lists this small RNA (83 nucleotides) under Marmota monax (woodchuck). Lineage: Eukaryota; Metazoa; Chordata; Mammalia; Rodentia; Sciuridae. The record is from RNAcentral.
GCCAGGCAUGGUGGUGUAUGCCUGUAAUCCCAGAGCCCAAGGAGGCUGAGGCAGGAAGUUUGUAAAUUCAAGGCCAGCCUUAG